UUUAACAAAAAAGUGGCGGGAUCCGGCUGUGAUUCGGGUCACCCAAUAUUAAAAAACGGAUCCUAUAUAUCAUCUUUACCAGACCACCAUAUCUUAUAACCUCACUUUUCACAAACCCUACAUACCAUUUCCUAAAUCUGCUUCUUCGUUUUUCAGAGAUUCAUCGUCCUUAGAUGAGAUUCAUAAGGACGACAAUGUUUUGAUGCUUUCUUCAUCUUCAUGGUUUGCUUGUGGUCUUUCGUAUCCGUCAAAACCCUAAUCGACCGGAGAAAUCGUCAAAAGUUCUUCACAAUAUGGUGAAGAGCUUCUUUCAGACUCCUUCCCCUACAAGGAACUAUUGAAUGGGUUCCUAUGAGAAGUUGAAGAAAAGUUAUGGAUCAUGAAAACAACGCUCCUUCAUUGUUAAAGUCGAUUGAGGACUAUGAUCCUAUAUUUUCGAAUUGUU
Long non-coding RNA from Helianthus annuus (common sunflower), 445 nucleotides. RefSeq lists it as uncharacterized. The transcript has 5 exons. The record is from RefSeq and is a predicted model, not a curated record. Lineage: Eukaryota; Viridiplantae; Streptophyta; Magnoliopsida; Asterales; Asteraceae.